AAUCAACGCUGGCGGCGUGCCUAACACAUGCAAGUCGAACGGGGUCCAUGGGAGCUUGCUCCCGGAAGACCUAGUGGCGAACGGGUGAGUAACACGUGAGAAACCUGCCCUGGAGUGGGGAAUAACUCGGGGAAACUCGAGCUAAUACCGCAUACCCUCGGAUGGUCGCAUGGCCGACCGAGGAAAGAUUCAUCGCUUCAGGAGGGUCUCGCGGCCUAUCAGCUAGUUGGUGGGGUAACGGCCUACCAAGGCAACGACGGGUAGCUGGUUUGAGAGAACGAUCAGCCACACUGGGACUGAGACACGGCCCAGACUCCUACGGGAGGCAGCAGUGGGGAAUCUUGCGCAAUGGGCGAAAGCCUGACGCAGCAACGCCGCGUGCGGGAUGACGGCCCUCGUGGUUGUAAACCGCUUUCAGCAGGGACGAAAUGACGGUACCUGCAGAAGAAGCCCCGGCUAAC
Molecule: ribosomal RNA, 461 nt
Filed under: uncultured bacterium
Lineage: Bacteria
Description: bacterial SSU rRNA
Rfam family: Bacterial small subunit ribosomal RNA
Source: RNAcentral